Molecule: long non-coding RNA, 514 nt
Organism: Eupeodes corollae
Lineage: Eukaryota; Metazoa; Arthropoda; Insecta; Diptera; Syrphidae
Exons: 3
Source: RefSeq, a predicted model, not a curated record
CAUGGCCCGACAGACCAUGUCCUCAGCACAAUUAUGAAACUAGUAGCCUUUUUUGUUGUUGUUGUUCGUCCUUUCAAAGAAAACCUAAUACGGGUGCGGGUCGGUUGAUGUAUACUAGAAAAUAGUCUAUCCGUGAAUUUAGUGGAUGUAAGUCGGUUGUGCGCAAAGAACAAAAAAAAAAAACAAAGUAAAAGAUAACUUUUGUUAUCCGGUUUCUUGACUGAACACAAAAUACACAAUAUAUUAUUGUAAUUAGCAAAUUAAGGUCAAUAACUUUAUUGAAGGGCUUAUAUCAACCAAAAUAUCUAUACAGACAUAGAAAGAGGUACAUACAUAGAAAAAAAGGAAUAAUGCCAACAAAUGAUAUUGUACCAAUGGAACAAAUAAGUUCCAUGGUGUCGAAUGGUGGAGGAAGUGUAACAAUUCCCAAAGAUGAUGAUUAUCGGAAUCGUAUAUUAAAAAUUAAACAAAUUGGUAAGAAAAUUUAAUAUAAAUUUAACAUAAAUAUUUAAAA